AUGGUUGCCGCUCUGUUCAACUCCCCCUAUGCCCUCACCGCCCUAGCCUUCCUCCUCGCCGUCAUGGUCCUCGUCUCCUCCUCGAAGCGCAACCGCAAUUCCGGCAGGCAGGGCCAGCUGCGGCUUCCUCCAUCACCGCCCGGCCUGCCGGUCGUCGGCCACCUCCACCUGCUCGGGAGCCUGCCGCACCGGAGCCUCCGUGCGCUGGCCGCGACCUACGGCCCGGUGAUGCACCUGCGGCUCGGGCGCGUGCCGACCGUGGUGGCGUGCUCCGCGGCCGCGGCGGAGGAGGCCAUGAGGACCCGGGACCUCGACUUCGCCAGCCGUCCCAGGCUCCUCAUGGUCGACCGCUUCUACUACGGCACCGGCGGGAUCGGCUUUGCACCGUACGGGGAGCACUGGCGCCAGGCGCGCCGCGUCUGCGUCACCCACAUGCUCAACGCGCACCGCGUCGCGUCCCUGGGUGGCGUCCGGGCGCAGGAGGCCGCCGCGCUCGUGGACCGGGUGCACCGCCACGCCGGGGCCGUCGUGAACAUCAGCGACAACCUCAUUGUGUACUCUAACACGGUCAUCUCCCGCUGCACGUUCGGCGACACGGACUACGGGGUUGAAGGAGGCGGCGGCGGCGCGAGGCUGAGGAAGGUGUUCGCAGAGAUCGAGGAGCUCCUGGGCACGGUGCCCAUGGGAGAGACGGUGCCGUGGCUGCGGUGGGUGGACGUCGUCACGGGGCUGGAGAAGAAGACGCGGCGUGUCUUUGAAGAGAUGGACGGACUACUGGAGCGGGUCAUCGCCGACCACCGCCAGCGCCGCCGCGCGGGUGCGGCCACCGGGGAGGAGGGAGACUUCGUGGACGUGAUGCUGGACGCUGAAGAGCUGGACACGGGCAGCAUCAAGGGCAUCAUCCUGGACAUGCUGGCCGCCGCGACGGACUCCACCUUCACGCUCCUGGAAUGGGCCAUGGCGGAGCUCAUCAGCCACCCGCACGAGAUGCGCAAGCUACAGGACGAGGUCCGCGCGGCAGUCGGACCGGCCGCCGGCGCCGUCGUGACGGAGGAGCAUCUCCCCCGCCUGCCUUACCUGAAGGCGGUGGUGAAGGAGACGCUGCGCCUCCACCCGCCGACGCCGUUGCUCCUGCCGCGGGAGACGCUGGAGGACACGCGGCUGCUGGGCUACGACGUGCCGGCGGGCACCCGGGUCCUGAUCCACGCCUGGGCCAUCGGCCGCGACCCGGCAACGUGGGGGAGCCGCGCCGAGGAGUUCGCGCCGGAGCGGUUCCUCGGGUACGACCUCAAGAUGGGCCAGGAUUUCGCCUUCUUGCCAUUCGGCGCCGGGAGGAGGGGCUGUCCCGGCGUCGGGUUCGCCAUGUUGUCGAACGAGCUGGCGCUGGCGAGCCUGGUGUAUAACUUUGACUGGGAGCAGCCCGGCGGUAGGAUGCCGCCGGUAGACAUGAGCGAGCUGCACGGCCUCUCCGUGCGCCUCAAGGCGCCUCUGCUUCUGGUUGCCAAAUCUUGGUCGCCUGUGUCUGGGAUGGAGAGCAAUUAA
This 1542-nucleotide ribosomal RNA is filed under the name Triticum aestivum (bread wheat). RNAcentral's name for it is "partial small subunit ribosomal RNA". Lineage: Eukaryota; Viridiplantae; Streptophyta; Magnoliopsida; Poales; Poaceae. The record is from RNAcentral.